CGGGAUGUGGCUCAGUUUGGUAGAGUGCUGCGUUCGGGACGCAGAGGUCGCAGGUUCGAAUCCUGUCAUCCCGAC
RNAcentral lists this transfer RNA (75 nucleotides) under Clostridia bacterium. RNAcentral describes it as "tRNA-Pro". It matches the Rfam family "tRNA". Rfam says of the family: Transfer RNA (tRNA) molecules are approximately 80 nucleotides in length. Their secondary structure includes four short double-helical elements and three loops (D, anti-codon, and T loops). Further hydrogen bonds mediate the characteristic L-shaped molecular structure. tRNAs have two regions of fundamental functional importance: the anti-codon, which is responsible for specific mRNA codon recognition, and the 3' end, to which the tRNAs corresponding amino acid is attached (by aminoacyl-tRNA synthetases). tRNAs cope with the degeneracy of the genetic code in two manners: having more than one tRNA (with a specific anti-codon) for a particular amino acid; and 'wobble' base-pairing, i.e. permitting non-standard base-pairing at the 3rd anti-codon position. The record is from RNAcentral. Lineage: Bacteria; Bacillati; Bacillota; Clostridia.